CAGAAGGACGCACGGACGGCCGAGGACGCCUACAACACCGUGGUGCGGUAUUUCGGAGAGAGCCCCAAGACGACCCCCCCAUCCGUCUUCUUCCCAGUGUUUGUCCGGUUCAUCCGCUCCUACAAAGAUGCGGAGCAGGAGAAUGAGAUGCGGAAGAAGCAGGAGGAGGUGAUGCGGGAGAAGCUGGUGGGGCAGGGGGCUAAGAAGCGGG
This is a long non-coding RNA of Egretta garzetta (little egret), 211 nucleotides long. RefSeq lists it as uncharacterized. The transcript has 3 exons. Lineage: Eukaryota; Metazoa; Chordata; Aves; Pelecaniformes; Ardeidae. The record is from RefSeq and is a predicted model, not a curated record.